Molecule: ribosomal RNA, 253 nt
Filed under: uncultured Blastopirellula sp.
Lineage: Bacteria; Pseudomonadati; Planctomycetota; Planctomycetia; Pirellulales; Pirellulaceae
Description: partial 16S ribosomal RNA
Rfam family: Bacterial small subunit ribosomal RNA
Source: RNAcentral
UACGAACCGUCCAAACGUUAUUCGGAAUCACUGGGCUUAAAGGGUGCGUAGGCGGCCUGUUAAGUUGGGUGUGAAAUCCCUCGGCUCAACCGAGGAAUUGCGCCCAAUACUGGCGGGCUUGAGGGAGAUAGAGGUGAGCGGAACUUAGGGUGGAGCGGUGAAAUGCGUUGAUAUCCUAAGGAACACCGGUGGCGAAAGCGGCUCACUGGGUCUCUUCUGACGCUGAGGCACGAAAGCUAGGGUAGCGAAGAGG